This is a long non-coding RNA of Suricata suricatta (meerkat), 2893 nucleotides long. RefSeq lists it as uncharacterized. The transcript has 3 exons. The record is from RefSeq and is a predicted model, not a curated record. Lineage: Eukaryota; Metazoa; Chordata; Mammalia; Carnivora; Herpestidae.
UACGCUCCCUGUCCCCAAACUGUCCCCUUAGCUGUCAGAACUGAGGUCUUCGUGGCCCCGAGGAGAAUCGUUGCAGCGGAAGUAAGAAUGAGGGCAUUACGUUCUCGAGUUCUGAGGUCUGAAAGCUGAAGCCCACACAGAAGGAGACCCCUGCGUUCCUGCCACUGGGUCACAUCCUCUGAGCUGGGGCCUCAGGGAUUGGAGGACACAGAGUGUCCCAAAGGGAACGCAGAGAUCUCGGUGGGCACCGGGGAGAACGAGCGAUGCUCAGAGGACAGCCACGUGGGAGGAGAGGUGAGCUGCAGAGCGCUGAAUGGCCCGGCAUCAAGAUGAUCAAUUAAGAUAAGCCAAAAGGAGAGUAACAGUGGCGCCUUUAAAUGCUUCCUGUGAUGGCAGGAACGGGGCAGACGGAGGAAAGUACUGGCCCUCCCAGCGUUUGCUUUUCCCCACGGAACAGCGCUGGCACAAACAGGAAGCCGCAGACUAAAGGCUCCUGCCAUUUUGUGAAGAGGAGACAGGGGAGUGGUUGGGGGGAGGGGGGGACUGGGAGUGAAAAAAGUGAAUGCUGAGUCAGACUGAAAGUAAAUGUCUUCCAGAAUCCCCUUCCCCCCAAGCCUGGAAGGUGGUCUCUGCAGAGGUGCCUGAAAAAUGACUCUGCUAUGGGCCCCCAAUAAGGAGACCUCCAAAUGGAGGCAACGGGGCUAGGAAUGCAGAUACCUGUAAGAGCAUCGCCAGCCAGGAGGGCCUGGGUCUCCCUCCGGACACGCAGUCGAUGCACACGGGUACUGUGCAUUGAUUGGCUUUGUGUGAAGUGCGGUGUGGGGAGAUCGGCUUUCCCCCACGCGGUCGGCCACGUAAGGCCUCUGUAAUUCCUAAUGUUGGGCCUGAGAGACCACACGUGGGGCUGUGACCCGGAGUCAGACUCCCCACCUCUCGGCCGAACUUUCUUAUCCACAACCCAAGACCCAACUGGAUGUCGGUGGAAAGAGAUUUGUGGCAGCACACACAGAUCGCAAGUCUGCAUAUCUUAGGGCCGUUUGAGCAUCAGUCUGUCUUCUAAACCCUCAUUUGUUCAUUCGAGAUCUUUCCACAUGUACUUCCUGAGAACAGAUAUAUAAUACAAGUUUCCUGGAUUAUCUUGACCUUUGUUACUAUGUUCCUUUAAAAACACAACAACGUGAAGAGGCACAGGUUUCUUAGAAUGAGUAUAAACGGCCCAUUUCUCUUCAUCACGUAUUCCAGUGUUGUGAUGUUCACACCCCUGCACACCCACUCACCAUGUAACACCUGCGAGGAAAUUCCCCCAGAACCAAGGGCACCGCACAUGGGUGGUAAGAGCGGUCUGACUUGGCGUCGCCUCCUCUCUUUGUGGUCUGGGUGAAGUCGGCCUGCCCUAGGAGUGGCCAGAAGCAACUGUAUACGUUUUAAACUACUGAGUCAUCGAGGCUUCCUUUGCUUUCUUUUUUUGACAGAUAAAUAAGUAGAGCUUAGGAGGCUGUCAGAGGCCACCUAGGAGAAGGCAAUUUAGACUUCACACACUCUGGAAUUUUCUUGACUUGAAAUUUUCUUGUUGAGUUGAAAGGGAGGGAAAUAGCUUCUUAACAGGUCUUCCUUGUUUAUUUCACCAGCCAUCUGACUGACUCCACAAAGGCAUGAAAUGUGUCUUUCAGUUUUAUAGUCCUAGUACCUAGCACAAUCCUUGGCAAAGAAAUUAUGAAUAUUUCAUAAAUAUCUGUUCAAUAACAACUUUCAGGGUGCCUGGGUGGGUGGCUCAGUCUUUUGGGCGACCAAUUCUUGAUUCAGCUCAGGUCAUGAUCUCACAGUUCGUGCAUUUGAGCUUCAUGUAGGGCUCUCUGCUUAUUGCAUGGAGCUUGCUUCAGAUCCUCUGUCUCCCUCUUUCAGGCCCUUUCUGACUCACACUUUCUCUCUCUCUCAAAAAUAAACAAACAUUAAAAGAAAAACAACUUUAAAUUCCCCAGAGAUCCUCUGCGGGCUCAGGACUGAAUCUGCUAACAUGGCUGCCAUGGUCAUGCGGGGUCUCCCUCGAGGUAGCUGAGCAAUCUGGUUCAGUGCGUAGACCCUUAUAGCUAGACUUCUGGCUUCAAAUCCUGACCCAGCUCCUUCCUUUCAUUGUGCCUUUGAUCCAGUUACUUCAGUUUCCUCCUUUGUAAACUGGGGCUGUCUCAUAAGGUUGAUAAGAGCAGAAUAUGAGUUAAUAUUUAAAACUACUUAGACUGGGCGGGGGGCAUAAAGUUGGGAACUAUUUGUGCUGAUAAGUAAAGAAAGCAGUUUUCCUAGUUCUCUGGACAUUUUCAAUGACAGCAAACUGAUGGAUAUCUCACUAACAUGCCCUGGUUUUAAUUUCAUCAGAAAACGUCUCUGUCAUUCUGUGUUAACAAAUUCUCAGGUCAUUCCUACUAGAGGAAAGAUAUUAUUGCCCCCAUUUCAGAGAAGGAGAGGCUGCAGUACAGACUGGGGAAGAGUAGCUAGCUAGCUCAGUAGAACUGGCGCUCCCUAACUUAUUGAACCCCAACAGAGGAAGUGUAGACGUGGGAGGCAAGCAGAGACAGGGAAGUGCGUAUUGAAUUGUGACAAGUGUUCUGUGAAACCUAUUUCUUAGUCAUAGUUUACCCAUGAGUGUCACCGGCUGAAAAAUGGGUUGUGCACAAACCAUAACACCUCUGGAGACAGUGGCACAUGUUAACUCAGGAUUUCCUGGAAUUUAGUUGAUGCCGUUGGACAUUAUGCGAUGCUCUCCAGGUCAGGGAGUUCAUAUCCAUGCCGUGAUCUGCAGGGACUUUCACAUCAGUAGAAGUAGGUAGCCUGAAGGCUCACAGAUGAACUUUCAUAACAAGCUUCCAUUCCGGAUAUGGAUGAGUUUUAAGAAGCAAUU